UCACGGUUUACACCGGCAGUUUCGUUAGAGUCCCCGGCAUUACCCGCUGGCAACUAACGAUAAGGGUUGCGCUCGUUAUGGGACUUAACCCGACACCUCACGGCACGAGCUGACGACAACCAUGCAGCACCUUGCAAGUUGUCCGAAGAAAGACCAGUUUCCCAGUCUGUCAACCUGCAUUCAAGCCCAGGUAAGGUUCCUCGCGUAUCAUCGAAUUAAACCACAUGUUCCUCCGCUUGUGCGGGCCCCCGUCAAUUCCUUUGAGUUUCAAUCUUGCGAUCGUACUCCCCAGGUGGAUCACUUAAUGCUUUCGCUCAGCCGCUGACAAUAUAUCGCCAACAGCGAGUGAUCAUCGUUUACAGCGUGGGCUAC
Molecule: unclassified non-coding RNA, 372 nt
Filed under: uncultured Bacteroidales bacterium
Lineage: Bacteria; Pseudomonadati; Bacteroidota; Bacteroidia; Bacteroidales
Description: contains 16S-23S intergenic spacer region
Source: RNAcentral